Non-coding RNA from Pelobates cultripes (western spadefoot toad), 990 nucleotides. NCBI's taxonomy places the organism in Eukaryota, Metazoa, Chordata, Amphibia, Anura, Pelobatidae. The record is from the annotation of a GenBank genome assembly.
GGAUAGGACAAAUUGAGCACAACAUAGAAGAAGAUUUUCAGGCAGCCAAAACAACAGAGAGUGAGGUAUGUGUAAAGUAUGCAACGCUACGAUUAUUUAACACGAUAUGUUUUCAAUAUACUAUUUAAAAUUGUUCGGAUUUGUUAAUAUCUAUAUUGCGUAGUUAACUAGUUGAUUACCUUAUAAACUUGCUCCCUAUUUGUGAGACGAUAUCUAAAGAACCUGAUUCGUUUCAUACCUUUCUACAUAUCGUCGGAAAUUAAAAUGUAAAGACAAAGUUGGUGCCAGAUAAAUGAUAGCAUGUAGCAUACUCUGGAACACGAUUAGAAAAGCAUGGUUCUUCCUUUUUAUUUGGACACUCGAAUUGGUUAAUUGUGUUUUUGCUCUGGUCUGAAAAAAUACUUCAGGGUUGCCAAUAUGCAAACAUGUUACUGACGGCUCAUUGAAUUUAUGUUGACGUAUCCACAAAUACCCUACUUUCACAGUUUAUUUUAUCGUUUUUACUAGCCAUAAUUUAUACUCAGGGUUUUUCCAAAAACUGUGAAUUAUUGCACAUUUAAUAUUCAAUGUGAAAAUAACUGGUCAGCUGAUUUUGGUUUGAAAGUGGACAUUAACUCUUAUUUACCAGCAACUCACAGUUUAGUAAUAUGUCACCUGUUAUUAACUAAGCUUUUACAUUUGAGCAAAUUAAAACUUUUAAUGGCAAAAAUAGCCAAAGAUGUUGCUGAACUGGAGAAUUUUCCCAGAUCAGCUAUCUUAGCCUAAUUAUUACAUUUUGAGUUAACUUCAAUACAGUUUGGGGUUGCCAAGAUUUCAGGUGAUUUUUAUUUUUUUAUUUUUUUUUAUUACAGGUUUCCUUGAAGCUCUGCGGUACUUAUUAAAGUGUACACUGUCAAGAUCACUUGAAUGGUCACAACCAUUCACACUUUAAUGUAUAAACCACACCUACAAUAGUACAAGCUAUGCCUGGGAAUAAAACGUCUGUGUUAC